AAGUUAGAAAGGGCGCACGGUGGAUGCCUUGGCACUAGGAGCCGAAGAAGGACGGGACUAACACCGAUAUGCUUUGGGGAGCUGUACGUAAGCGUUGAUCCAGAGAUUUCCGAAUGGGGGAACCCACUAUCUUUAGUCGGAUAGUAUCCUUACGUGAAUACAUAGCGUAAGGAAGGCAGACCCAGGGAACUGAAACAUCUAAGUACCUGGAGGAAGAGAAAGAAAAAUCGAUUUCCUGAGUAGCGGCGAGCGAAACGGAAAGAGCCCAAACCAAGAAGCUUGCUUCUUGGGGUUGUAGGACACUCUAUACGGAGUUACAAAAGAAAGUUAUAAAUGAAGCGGUCUGGAAAGGCCCGCCAAAGACGGUAACAGCCCGGUAGUUGAAAUGGCUUUCCCUCCAGAGUGGAUCCUGAGUACGGCGGAACACGUGAAAUUCCGUCGGAAUCCGGGAGGACCAUCUCCCAAGGCUAAAUACUCCCUAGUGACCGAUAGUGAACCAGUACCGUGAGGGAAAGGUGAAAAGCACCCCGGAAGGGGAGUGAAACAGUUCCUGAAACCGUGUGCCUACAAGUAGUUAGAGCCCGUUAAUGGGUGAUAGCGUGCCUUUUGUAGAAUGAACCGGCGAGUUACGAUUUGUUGCAAGGUUAAGCGGAAAAAGCGGAGCCGUAGCGAAAGCGAGUCUGAAUAGGGCGCAUAAGUAACAGGUCGUAGACCCGAAACCAGGUGAUCUACCCAUGUCCAGGAUGAAGGUAAGGUAAUACUUACUGGAGGUCCGAACCCACGCACGUUGAAAAGUGCGGGGAUGAGGUGUGGGUAGCGGAGAAAUUCCAAUCGAACUUGGAGAUAGCUGGUUCUCUCCGAAAUAGCUUUAGGGCUAGCCUCGAGGUAAAGAGUCAUGGAGGUAGAGCACUGUUUGGACUAGGGGCCCUUCUCGGGUUACCGAAUUCAGAUAAACUCCGAAUGCCAUGUACUUAUACUCGGGAGUCAGACUGCGAGUGAUAAGAUCCGUAGUCGAAAGGGAAACAGCCCAGACCACCAGUUAAGGUCCCCAAAUAUAUGUUAAGUGGAAAAGGAUGUGGGGUUGCUUAGACAACCAGGAUGUUGGCUUAGAAGCAGCCACCAUUGAAAGAGUGCGUAAUAGCUCACUGGUCGAGUGACCCCGC
This 1163-nucleotide ribosomal RNA is filed under the name Listeria monocytogenes. RNAcentral's name for it is "partial 23S ribosomal RNA". It matches the Rfam family "Bacterial large subunit ribosomal RNA", at positions 1 to 1162 of the family's 2925-position model. Lineage: Bacteria; Bacillati; Bacillota; Bacilli; Caryophanales; Listeriaceae. The record is from RNAcentral.